Molecule: small nuclear RNA, 107 nt
Filed under: Jaculus jaculus (lesser Egyptian jerboa)
Lineage: Eukaryota; Metazoa; Chordata; Mammalia; Rodentia; Dipodidae
Source: RNAcentral
GUUCUCACUUUGGCAGCACAUAUACUAAAAUUGGAACGAUACAGAGAAGAUUAGCAUUGCUCCUGCACAAGGAUGACAUGCAAAUUCAUGAAGUGUUUCAUAUAUAU